Molecule: ribosomal RNA, 400 nt
Filed under: uncultured archaeon
Lineage: Archaea
Description: bacterial SSU rRNA
Rfam family: Archaeal small subunit ribosomal RNA
Source: RNAcentral
UUCUGGUUGAUCCCGCCGGAGGUCACUGCUAUUGGGAUUCGACUAAGCCAUGCGAGUCGAGAGGGUUCGGCCCUCGGCAGACGGCUCAGUAACACGUGGAUAAUCUGCCCUUAGGUGGAGGAUAACCUCGGGAAACUGAGAAUAAUACUCCAUAGAUCUAGGAUGCUGGAAUGCACUUAGAUUAAAAGUUCCGACGCCUAAGGAUGAGUCUGCGGACUAUCAGGUUGUAGUCAGGGUAAAGACCUGACUAGCCUACAAGCGGAUACGGGUUGUGAGAGCAAUAACCCGGAGACGAUAUCUGAGACACGAUAUCGGGCCCUACGGGGCGCAGCAGGCGCGAAACCUUCACAAUGUACGAAAGCACGAUGAGGGAAUCCCAAGUGCUUGCUCGUAAGAGUAA